GACGAACGCUGGCGGCGUGCUUAACACAUGCAAGUCGAGCGGUAAGGCCCUUUCGGGGGUACAUGAGCGGCGAACGGGUGAGUAACACGUGGGUGACCUGCCCUUAGCUCUGGGAUAAGCCUGGGAAACUGGGUCUAAUACCGGAUAUGACUCCAUAACGCAUGUUGUGGGGUGGAAAGCCUUGUGCGGCUAGGGAUGGGCCCGCGGCCUAUCAGCUUGUUGGUGGGGUGAUGGCCUACCAAGGCGACGACGGGUAGCCGGCCUGAGAGGGCGACCGGCCACACUGGGACUGAGACACGGCCCAGACUCCUACGGGAGGCAGCAGUGGGGAAUCUUGCGCAAUGGGCGAAAGCCUGACGCAGCGACGCCGCGUGGGGAUGACGGCCUC
Molecule: ribosomal RNA, 388 nt
Filed under: uncultured bacterium
Lineage: Bacteria
Description: bacterial SSU rRNA
Rfam family: Bacterial small subunit ribosomal RNA
Source: RNAcentral